RNAcentral lists this long non-coding RNA (447 nucleotides) under Brassica napus (rape). RNAcentral's name for it is "long non-coding RNA (BNAP_LNC022587)". Lineage: Eukaryota; Viridiplantae; Streptophyta; Magnoliopsida; Brassicales; Brassicaceae. The record is from RNAcentral.
ACUUACUUGACAAACUCCGUUUUUAUUAUAUUUGAGGAUAUUUAAUAUAAGCACCAUUCAUAAAAUUUUAACUUCUUCCUACGUAAAGUUAGGAUAUGAUUCAAACAAUACACACAUAAAAAUUAAUAAAUUGAUUAAUGUAAGAAAUCUAAUUUAGAUAUUUCUUUUUUCUUUUAGCAUAUGAAAUCGUUUAAAUUUGAAUAUUUUUUCUAACUAAUUUUCACCAAUUGUGAUAGCUGAAAAGGAGAGAAGCUUGAUAAGAUUAACUUACAAUGCGACUACUAAAUGUGCAUUUUACAGUAGAAACAGAUCAUGAGCAACUAAAUUCUCACAACACAUCAUUUUCUUGCGUCUGAAGAAAUCUGAUGUUUCUAUUUGAAGAGAGAAAUUUGUUUCAGGCGUCCCUUGACGAAUACUCUUUUUGUAUUUAAAGAUUUUUAUAAAACC